GGGAUGUUAUCAAAUUAUUCAUAAUAAUUUUUAAAAAAUCGGUCAGGUCUGGAAAGAAGCAGCCGUAAUAAAAACUACGAUGGGUAUUUUUGUUUAGCAUCCCGAUA
RNAcentral lists this signal recognition particle RNA (107 nucleotides) under Candidatus Blochmanniella chromaiodes str. 640. RNAcentral describes it as "Candidatus Blochmannia chromaiodes str. 640 bacterial signal recognition particle RNA". The stretch from base 8 to 98 matches the Rfam family "Bacterial small signal recognition particle RNA". Rfam says of the family: The signal recognition particle (SRP) is a universally conserved ribonucleoprotein involved in the co-translational targeting of proteins to membranes. The record is from RNAcentral. Lineage: Bacteria; Pseudomonadati; Pseudomonadota; Gammaproteobacteria; Enterobacterales; Enterobacteriaceae.